RNAcentral lists this long non-coding RNA (542 nucleotides) under Coturnix japonica (Japanese quail). Its description in RNAcentral is "lncRNA (ENSCJPG00005014397.1)". The record is from RNAcentral. Lineage: Eukaryota; Metazoa; Chordata; Aves; Galliformes; Phasianidae.
UAACUUCCAGGCGGGGUGUUUUCCAUUUCAUCGACAUGAUCUGGAUGCCAACGAAAUGAAGACCAUUUCUGGCGAAGGAAAUGACAGAUUAAAUUAUAGCCAGUCGGCUGUUCCAAGGUUCUCAUAUUUUCACUGCAAUCCAGACAAAUGUUUGGCUUUGAGGUUGUUUGGACCUUUUUCUCUUGUUGAAGCCAAGAUAUGUGAGGCAAAUGUAUGACAGAAUGGCUCAACCUUUCCUCAGACAAGAGAUUGCUUUGUUUUCAUCCAAGUCAAAAAGUGAUUGUAGCUUGCAUCCACUGGCCAACUUUGCCUUCUUUCAAGCACCCACUGAAACCUGUGAACAGGGACAAUACAGAGGGAGAAGUCCUGCAGCGAUUAUGACAGGCCAUGUGCCCUCCAGGACUUUCCAAGAUGCACAUUCUGCACAUCAUCUGAGUGUCCUUUGGCAGCAACAGUUGGCCCAAGCCUUGCAGCAGCAGCUGGUAUAUUUUCCAGGAGAGAAUAGGAAGAAAAAGGAGCUGCAGCCAUGCAUUUGCUUUUAA